Long non-coding RNA from Magallana angulata, 709 nucleotides. RefSeq lists it as uncharacterized. The record is from RefSeq and is a predicted model, not a curated record. The transcript has 5 exons. NCBI's taxonomy places the organism in Eukaryota, Metazoa, Mollusca, Bivalvia, Ostreida, Ostreidae.
UUUAGUUAUGUUCCACCUUAUGAAUAAGAGCUGUCCGUACGGGAACUGGACGUCUGAAGCAAGCAUUCACUGUCCUAACCCUGAAUAUUUCCAUUGUAUUAAAGAUGAAAAUGAUAGAAUUGGAUGGGUGUGUAUACAACCGAUAUGGGUUGAAAAAGGUAAAUGUGCCAUGUAUAACACUGGUGCCAGAACAUUAGACCUCACAUCUUGUACACAAAGCAAAUGUCCACAACAAGACUACCGAUCUAAUGACAUUGAUAUCGAAUUUGCCUGCAAAUAUUGAUACAGGAAUAGUUUCAGACCCACAACAACGUUCCCUUCCUCAAUUACCAAUGCUUCUUCUGAGACGAAUAACAACAGCCCAAUGUUAUGGAUCAUCCUUAUUGUUUGUUGGUUCUAGUGGUAGUUAUAGCAGGCGUUGUAGCUGCCACGGUGUUGUUAUACAAACGUCGCCAAAAAUCUCCACAAAAUGAUGACAUCGGACUGGAAGAGACCAAAGAUCUUCUCAGUGAUAGAGCUGGUAAAUCUAACAGGGCAGAAGAACAAUCAUACUCGUUUCAGCAAGCUAGGAGAUGUCUAGACCAGAAAAGAAUGGUUGUCAUAACUGGUGUUCAGGGAUCUGGUAAAACAUUUCUAGCGAAAUCGCUAGUAACUUAUCUGAAAAAGAAUGGAACCGAAACGAAAAGCGUUUGGAUUUCUAAUUACGUGG